GCUGCGGCUCCGCCAGACCCGGGGAGAGGCCGCUGCGCGCGGAGCCCGAGCCCGGAGCGGCCGGCGCCCGCCUCGGCGCGCACAUCCCGCGGGGCCCGGCCGGGUGGUGACUCCCACACGGGUCAUGCUGUUGUCUCCUGAUCCAGCCGGCCCUGCCAGGUGACCAUGCCUGCUCUGGGCCCAGCUCUUCUCCAGGCUCUCUGGGCCGGGUGGGUCCUCACCCUCCAGCCCCUUCCACCAACUGCUUUCACUCCCAAUGGCACGUAUCUGCAGCACCUGGCAAGGGACCCCACCUCAGGCACCCUCUACCUGGGGGCUACCAACUUCCUGUUCCAGCUGAGCCCUGGGCUGCAGCUGGAGGCCACAGUGUCCACCGGCCCUGUGCUAGACAGCAGGGACUGCCUGCCACCUGUGAUGCCUGAUGAGUGCCCCCAGGCCCAGCCUACCAACAACCCGAACCAGCUGCUCCUGGUGAGCCCAGGGGCCCUGGUGGUAUGCGGGAGCGUGCACCAGGGGGUCUGUGAACAGCGGCGCCUGGGGCAGCUCGAGCAGCUGCUGCUGCGGCCAGAGCGGCCUGGGGACACACAAUAUGUGGCUGCCAAUGAUCCUGCGGUCAGCACGGUGGGGCUGGUAGCCCAGGGCUUGGCAGGAGAGCCCCUCCUGUUUGUGGGGCGAGGAUACACCAGCAGGGGUGUGGGGGGUGGCAUUCCACCCAUCACAACCCGGGCCCUGUGGCCGCCCGACCCCCAAGCUGCCUUCUCCUAUGAGGAGACAGCCAAGCUGGCAGUGGGCCGCCUCUCCGAGUACAGCCACCACUUCGUGAGUGCCUUUGCACGUGGGGCCAGCGCCUACUUCCUGUUCCUGCGGCGGGACCUGCAGGCUCAGUCUAGAGCUUUUCGUGCCUAUGUAUCUCGAGUGUGCCUCCGGGACCAGCACUACUACUCCUAUGUGGAGUUGCCUCUGGCCUGCGAAGGUAGCCGCUACGGGCUGAUGCAGGCUGCAGCUGUGGCCACGUCCAGGGAGGUGGCGCAUGGGGAGGUGCUCUUUGCAGCUUUCUCCUCGGCUGCACCCCCCACUGUGGGCCGGCCCCCAUCGGCGGCUGCUGGGGCAUCUGGAGCCUCUGCCCUCUGUGCCUUCCCCCUGGAUGAGGUGGACCGGCUUGCUAAUCGCACGCGAGAUGCCUGCUACACCCGGGAGGGUCGUGCUGAGGAUGGGACCGAGGUGGCCUACAUCGAGUAUGAUGUCAAUUCUGACUGUGCACAGCUGCCAGUGGACACCCUGGAUGCUUAUCCCUGUGGCUCAGACCACACGCCCAGCCCCAUGGCCAGCCGGGUCCCGCUGGAAGCCACACCAAUUCUGGAGUGGCCAGGGAUUCAGCUAACAGCUGUGGCAGUCACCAUGGAAGAUGGACACACCAUCGCUUUCCUGGGUGAUAGUCAAGGGCAGCUGCACAGGGUCUACUUGGGCCCAGGGAGCGAUGGCCACCCAUACUCCACACAGAGCAUCCAGCAGGGGUCUGCAGUGAGCAGAGACCUCACCUUUGAUGGGACCUUUGAGCACCUGUAUGUCAUGACCCAGAGCACACUUCUGAAGGUUCCUGUGGCUUCCUGUGCUCAGCACCUGGACUGUGCAUCUUGCCUUGCUCACAGGGACCCAUACUGUGGGUGGUGCGUGCUCCUUGGCAGGUGCAGUCGCCGUUCUGAGUGCUCGAGGGGCCAGGGCCCAGAGCAGUGGCUAUGGAGCUUCCAGCCUGAGCUGGGCUGUCUGCAAGUGGCAGCCAUGAGUCCUGCCAACAUCAGCCGAGAGGAGACGAGGGAGGUUUUCCUAUCAGUGCCAGACCUGCCACCCCUGUGGCCAGGGGAGUCAUAUUCCUGCCACUUUGGGGAACAUCAGAGUCCUGCCCUGCUGACUGGUUCUGGUGUGAUGUGCCCCUCCCCAGACCCUAGUGAGGCCCCAGUGCUGCCGAGAGGAGCCGACUAUGUAUCCGUGAGCGUGGAGCUCAGAUUUGGCGCCGUUGUGAUCGCCAAAACUUCCCUCUCUUUCUAUGACUGUGUGGCGGUCACUGAACUCCGCCCAUCUGCGCAGUGCCAGGCCUGUGUGAGCAGCCGCUGGGAGUGUAACUGGUGUGUCUGGCAGCACCUGUGCACCCACAAGGCCUCGUGUGAUGCUGGGCCCAUGGUUGCAAGCCAUCAGAGCCCGCUUGUCUCCCCAGACCCUCCUGCAAGAGGUGGACCCAGCCCCUCCCCACCCACAGCCCCCAAAGCCCUGGCCACCCCUGCUCCUGACACCCUUCCCGUGGAGCCUGGGGCUCCCUCCACAGCCACAGCUUCGGACAUCUCACCUGGGGCUAGUCCUUCCCUGCUCAGCCCCUGGGGGCCAUGGGCAGGUUCUGGCCCCAUAUCUUCCCCUGGCUCCACAGGGUCGCCUCUCCAUGAGGAGCCCUCCCCUCCCAGCCCCCAAAAUGGACCUGGAACCGCUGUCCCUGCCCCCACUGACUUCAGACCCUCAGCCACACCUGAGGACCUCUUGGCCUCCCCGCUGUCACCCUCAGAGGUAGCAGCAGUGCCCCCUGCAGACCCUGGCCCCGAGGCUCUUCAUCCCACAGUGCCCCUGGACCUGCCCCCUGCCACUGUUCCUGCCACCACUUUCCCAGGGGCCAUGGGCUCCGUGAAGCCCGCCCUGGACUGGCUCACGAGAGAAGGCGGCGAGCUGCCCGAGGCGGACGAGUGGACGGGGGGUGACGCACCCGCCUUCUCCACUUCCACCCUCCUCUCAGGUGAUGGAGACUCAGCAGAGCUUGAGGGCCCUCCCGCCCCCCUCAUCCUCCCGUCCAGCCUCGACUACCAGUAUGACACCCCCGGGCUCUGGGAGCUGGAAGAGGCGACCUUGGGGGCAAGCUCCUGCCCCUGUGUGCAGAGCGUUCAGGGCUCCACGUUGAUGCCGGUCCAUGUGGAGCGGGAAAUCCGGCUGCUAGGCAGGAACCUGCACCUUUUCCAGGAUGGCCCAGGAGACAAUGAGUGUGUGAUGGAGCUGGAGGGCCUCGAGGUGGUGGUUGAGGCCCGGGUCGAGUGUGAGCCACCUCCAGAUACCCAGUGCCAUGUCACCUGCCAGCAGCACCAGCUCAGCUAUGAGGCUCUGCAGCCGGAGCUCCGUGUGGGGCUGUUUCUGCGUCGGGCCGGCCGUCUGCGUGUGGACAGUGCUGAGGGGCUGCAUGUGGUACUGUAUGACUGUUCCGUGGGACAUGGAGACUGCAGCCGCUGCCAAACUGCCAUGCCCCAGUAUGGCUGUGUGUGGUGUGAGGGGGAGCGUCCACGUUGUGUGACCCGGGAGGCCUGUGGUGAGGCUGAGGCUGUGGCCACCCAGUGCCCAGCGCCCCUCAUCCACUCGGUGGAGCCACUGACUGGGCCUGUAGACGGAGGCACCCGUGUCACCAUCAGGGGCUCCAACCUGGGCCAGCAUGUGCAGGAUGUGCUGGGCAUGGUCACGGUGGCUGGAGUGCCCUGUGCUGUGGAUGCCCAGGAGUACGAGGUCUCCAGCAGCCUCGUGUGCAUCACCGGGGCCAGUGGGGAGGAGGUGGCCGGCGCCACAGCGGUGGAGGUGCCGGGAAGAGGACGUGGUGUCUCAGAGCACGACUUUGCCUACCAGGAUCCGAAGGUCCAUUCCAUCUUCCCGGCCCGCGGCCCCAGAGCUGGGGGCACCCGUCUCACCCUGAAUGGCUCCAAGCUCCUGACUGGGCGGCUGGAGGACAUCCGAGUGGUGGUUGGAGACCAGCCUUGUCACUUGCUGCCGGAGCAGCAGUCAGAACAACUGCGGUGUGAGACCAGCCCACGCCCCACGCCUGCCACGCUCCCUGUGGCUGUGUGGUUUGGGGCCACGGAGCGGAGGCUUCAACAUGGACAGUUCAAGUAUACCUUGGACCCCAACAUCACCUCUGCUGGCCCCACCAAGAGCUUCCUCAGUGGAGGACGUGAGAUAUGGGUCCGUGGCCAGAAUCUGGACGUGGUACAGACGCCAAGAAUCCGGGUGACCGUGGUCUCGAGAAUGCUGCAGCCCAGCCAGGGGCUUGGACGGAGGCGUCGCGUGGUCCCGGAGACGGCAUGUUCCCUUGGACCCUCCUGCAGUAGCCAGCAAUUUGAGGAGCCGUGCCUUGUCAACUCCUCCCAGCUCAUCACGUGCCGCACACCUGCCCUCCCAGGCCUGCCUGAGGACCCCUGGGUCCGGGUGGAAUUUAUCCUUGACAACCUGGUCUUUGACUUUGCAACACUGAACCCCACACCUUUCUCCUAUGAGGCCGACCCCACCCUGCAGCCACUCAACCCUGAGGACCCCACCAUGCCAUUCCGGCACAAGCCUGGGAGUGUGUUCUCCGUGGAGGGGGAGAACCUGGACCUUGCAAUGUCCAAGGAGGAGGUGGUGGCUAUGAUAGGGGAUGGCCCCUGUGUGGUGAAGACGCUGACGCGGCACCACCUGUACUGCGAGCCCCCCGUGGAGCAGCCCCUGCCACGGCACCAUGCCCUCCGAGAGGCACCUGACUCUUUGCCUGAGUUCACGGUGCAGAUGGGGAACUUGCGCUUCUCCCUGGGUUACGUGCAGUAUGACGGCGAGAGCCCUGGGGCUUUUCCUGUGGCAGCCCAGGUGGGCUUGGGGGUGGGCACCUCUCUUCUGGCUCUGGGUGUCAUCAUCAUUGUCCUCAUGUACAGGAGGAAGAGCAAGCAGGCCCUGAGGGACUAUAAGAAGGUUCAGAUCCAGCUGGAGAAUCUGGAGAGCAGUGUGCGGGACCGCUGCAAGAAGGAAUUCACAGACCUCAUGACUGAGAUGACCGAUCUCACCAGUGACCUCCUGGGCAGCGGCAUCCCCUUCCUCGACUACAAGGUGUAUGCGGAGAGGAUCUUCUUCCCUGGGCACCGCGAGUCGCCCUUGCACCGGGACCUGGGUGUGCCUGAGAGCAGACGGCCCACUGUGGAGCAAGGGCUGGGGCAGCUCUCUAACCUGCUCAACAGCAAGCUCUUCCUCACCAAGUUCAUCCACACGCUGGAGAGCCAGCGCACCUUUUCAGCUCGGGACCGUGCCUACGUGGCAUCUCUGCUCACCGUGGCACUGCAUGGGAAGCUUGAGUAUUUCACUGACAUCCUCCGCACUCUGCUCAGUGACCUGGUUGCCCAGUAUGUGGCCAAGAACCCCAAGCUGAUGCUGCGCAGGACAGAGACUGUGGUGGAGAAGCUGCUCACCAACUGGAUGUCCAUCUGUCUGUAUACCUUCGUGAGGGACUCCGUAGGGGAGCCUCUGUACAUGCUCUUUCGAGGGAUUAAGCACCAAGUGGAUAAGGGGCCAGUGGACAGUGUGACAGGCAAGGCCAAAUACACCUUGAACGACAACCGCCUGCUCAGAGAGGAUGUGGAGUACCGUCCCCUGACCUUGAAUGCACUAUUGGCUGUGGGGCCUGGGGCAGGAGAGGCCCAGGGCGUGCCUGUGAAGGUCCUAGACUGUGACACCAUCUCCCAGGCAAAGGAGAAGAUGCUGGACCAGCUUUAUAAAGGAGUGCCUCUCACCCAGCGGCCAGACCCUCGCACCCUUGAUGUUGAGUGGCGGUCUGGGGUGGCCGGGCACCUCAUUCUUUCUGACGAGGAUGUCACUUCUGAGGUCCACGGUCUGUGGAGGCGCCUGAACACACUGCAGCAUUACAAGGUCCCAGAUGGAGCAACUGUGGCCCUCGUCCCCUGCCUCACCAAGCAUGUGCUCCGGGAAAACCAGGAUUAUGUCCCUGGAGAGCGUACCCCAAUGCUGGAGGAUGUAGAUGAGGGGGGCAUCCGGCCCUGGCACCUGGUGAAGCCAAGUGAUGAGCCGGAGCCGCCCAGGCCUCGGAGGGGCAGCCUUCGGGGCGGGGAGCGUGAGCGCGCCAAGGCCAUCCCUGAGAUCUACCUGACCCGCCUGCUGUCCAUGAAGGGCACCCUGCAGAAGUUCGUGGAUGACCUGUUCCAGGUGAUUCUCAGCACCAGCCGCCCCGUGCCGCUCGCUGUGAAGUACUUCUUUGACUUGCUGGAUGAGCAGGCCCAGCAGCAUGGCAUCUCCGACCAGGACACCAUCCACAUCUGGAAGACCAACAGCUUGCCUCUGAGGUUCUGGAUCAAUAUAAUAAAAAACCCGCAGUUUGUGUUCGACGUGCAAACAUCUGAUAACAUGGAUGCGGUGCUCCUUGUCAUUGCACAGACCUUCAUGGACGCCUGCACCCUGGCCGACCACAAGCUGGGCCGGGACUCCCCGAUCAACAAACUUCUGUAUGCACGGGACAUUCCCCGGUACAAGCGGAUGGUGGAAAGGUACUAUGCAGACAUCAGACAGACUGUCCCAGCCAGCGACCAAGAGAUGAACUCUGUCCUGGCUGAACUGUCCUGGGGAAGCCCUUGGGAACCUCAGCAGCCCUGUGAGCUGGUUGGGGCAGGAAACAUAAAUGCAGAAUGUUCCAACUGCCACUGAAAGACCAGGGCUCCCACCAUCUCAUCACAGAGCAAGCAGGGGUCUUGUCCUGGCAGCUGCCAUGUACCCUGAUUCAGCCAGGCUCUUGCAAGAACUACUCUGGAGACCUCGGGGCGCGAGUGGCCCUGCAUGAACUCUACAAGUACAUCAACAAGUACUAUGACCAGCUCCCCAGCAGGACGGCGAGGCACAGUGCUGGUGGUUGUGGGGGCCAAGGGGUCUACCAGAGCCUGGAGAUGGUGUGCAUUUGCUGAGUUGGCAGCAUGUUGGGCACGGCCAACAUGCAAGUGCAGGCCUGGCUUGGCUGCAUGAGCUGCGAAGAGGAGAGUCCAGGCACAGGGCCAGGGGUGUGAGGGUACACUGGAGCUGGUGAAGCUUUUUGGAGGAUCCCUGGGCUGUGCCUGAAGAGCUGAGCACCUGCCAGUCAACCUGCUGGAUGCCUGGUGGAAUUGUCCACUUAGAUGUUUGUGUGGCACCAGUGACAUGGCUAUUGCUGCUCAGAGAUGAGGAACCUGUCUCAUGGCCCACAGCCUUCCUGGGCAUGGUGUGGGCCAUGGCACGGGGCUUGGGGGAGGCAGGGUGUGAUGCAGGCAUGUCCCCUUGUGGAGACAUAGUGGGCAGUAGCUGUUUUCCCAAGUGCUGCUGCCCUCCGGUUCCUACCGGUUCCCUUGGUGGCAGCCCCAAAUUCGUGGUUUGUGUUUGAUCAGUGUCUGUUUUCCCACCACGUGUCUGGUCAUUCUUGGGUCUCUGCCCCUUGUCUGGCACCGGGCAGACAGGAACUUGGGAAAUGCUGUUGGCUGGCGGGUGGGUUAGCCAGGAUGGCUGCAGCAGGGCUUCUGAGGAGCUCGCUACUGAGUCAGGUCCUUCAUUUCCUACCUUAUUCAUCCUGGAACCCCGCGGUGACUUUGAUGUUAUUACCCCUCCCGCCAGCGAGGCCCUGAGGUCCCAGAAAGUACGUGAAGUGACCGGCUGGGUUUCUUGGCCUCCUAUCCCACUCAUGCCACAGCGUCUUAGGAGGACUGUUGAAUUUUGCAGCAAACACGUUGGCCAAAGAAGUCUCCCCUGAUGGCAUCGGUCUCUGUUUCAGAUCAUCACUGCCCUGGAGGAGGAUGGCACGGCCCAGAAGAUGCAGCUGGGCUAUCGGCUCCAGCAGAUUGCAGCUGCUGUGGAAAACAAGGUCACAGAUCUAUAGGGACCCAGGAGCCACGGCCUGCUGUUGCUUCAGCCUGGCCUGGGCAGCCCUGGAAACUCGGAGGGGAGGCCACCUUCUUAGGUGCCUGUAGUGACUGACAAGCAGAGUUAGUGGAAGGUGACUCCCAGUCUCCUGGUGGCUCUGGCCUCGGCCCUGCUGGAUCCACCUCCUAGACCCGGGGCCUCAAGGCUCAUGGGGUAGUACCUAGCCUGCUCCCCGAGUCCAGCGACCCUGUGACACCGGUCUGCAGGGAGUUGGGGACUAAGGGCUUCCAGAGAGUGGCUGGAAGAGCCUCCAGGCCCCUGGGGAGACUGUACUGUUCCUGAACACUGGCCUUGGCCACACUGGGAUUCGGAGAGGAAGGAGGAGAGCCCCACGCUUCCUGUCUGCCUCCUCCACCAUCCCUGACCUCAGUUGAGCUGCCUCUGGCCUUGUUGCUGCUGCCACAUCCUAGGUCUAAGAGUUGAACGCCUCUCCUAGGCCACUACAAACUGACCCCUCAGCAGGGCUGGCUGCCACAGGGCUGCCCUGCCUCAUAGGUAGCCAUGGUGAGGGCUAUCUGCUGCAGGGGGUCUUGGGGAGAGUGGUGACUCCAUUGACCCAGCUUUUCAUUAAAGGAUAACACACUGCA
RNA transcript from Pan troglodytes (chimpanzee), 8297 nucleotides. It is a transcript of the gene named plexin B1, with no coding region annotated. The record is from RefSeq and is a predicted model, not a curated record. Lineage: Eukaryota; Metazoa; Chordata; Mammalia; Primates; Hominidae. The transcript is spliced from 39 exons.